GAGAGUCGGUACAUAUGAGGAAGGCUGAGCCCGCCUCGAGAGCGUGCCAAAUCGCAUACAGCUCUGCCGUGUAUACCCUGCAAUGAGGGGGCAACGGCCAGGAGGUGCCACUCCCUCGCUAUACACAGCACACGCCACACCAUCGCCGGUCUUGUACCCGUCUGUAAAGAUUUUGACUAUUAUUUUCGUAUUGUUUGUAUCUAUAGAGCUUUUCUUUGGAUAGUACAUGUAAUUAAAGGCCUAGGGCCAUCUUUUGUAACAUCAGGCGAAAUGAAGGUCUUUAUGCUUGCUUGAUCACCUGAAUUAUAUAAGGUGUUAUUCAAUUAUUGUUUGUAUAGAACUCUCAGGUUGUACGUACAUUUGUACAUUUACGACAGUUGAAUUCCACCUUGAUCUUUUAAACUUACAUUUGCAUAUCAUACUCCGCAUAAUAUACAGAUUGUUUUUCCAGGAUUUUGGUUCAAUGAUUUGAGCCUACAGUGCUAAUUUUUGUAUUGUACGUGCUGCCGACGGUUUCAUGCCCAUCAACUGGCCUCGGUUUUUGCUUAAUAAUUUCUUAAUCGAUAAUUUAUUUAUUAUGAUUUGUCUUUUGUACAUUUCUUGAAAUUGUGCAAUUUCGAUAUGUGCAACACAUGCUAGGACUUUAUUUUCUUACAAGAGGAGAAUUUAAGCUUCUUGAUCGAUUAGAAUUUACGUGAAGGGUAUUUAUCAUUUUUUGUUCAAAGAACUUCAGAUGGUCCGUUCAUUUAUACAUUUUCAGGGUGUUGAUAUAAAUUGAACGUUUUUUCGUUAUACGUAUAUUUGAAUGCAUGCCAGACUCCAUGUUCUUUAUCAGUUUAUGUCUAUUGGAUUUUUAUCCACUUCUGCUAUAGAACUAUUUUUGGAUUGUAGUGCAUUUCAAAAUAUGCGAGGUUAAUCCCUUUCAACUAGCUUGAUAAGAUUUUGCUUAAAUAUUUGGUUCAUGUUUGAUAUGUCAUGUCUAUUAUUUAUUAUUGCUUGUCACUAUAGAACAUUUCAUUGUUGUACGUGCAAUGAAAGGUAUAGUCAGUAUAAUACUUCAGAUUGUAUAUUUUCAGGGUCUUAUUAACAUCAGUUCAACUUAGACCUGGUUUUUUUUCUCAAUUAGGUCUGAUUGAAAAGUACUUUUUGUAAUGCUGGGCUUUUUUAGAUUGUAAGUACAUUUGUUUAUGAUAGACUCCUUGUUUUAUAUAGUUUAUGCUUCUUAGAUUUUUAUAUGCGAGUCUUUAUGAAAAUCUUAUUUGUACUGUACUACCUUUAGAUUGUAUUGGCUUUUGCAUAUAAUGCAAGUGGUACAUUUUGGUAAAAUUUAGGCUCUCAGGGUUUUAAUUUUUUUCUGUUUUUUACUCUCGAUUUUGGGUUUGAUUUAAUUUCACCUUGGUCUUUCUUGAUUAUCCGACUUGUGAUGUCUCUCAUAAUGAUUUAUCGAUCUUACCAAGGACAAAUAACGUUAACUUUCUAAUUGUUCAGUGGUUAUUUUGUUUUUAGUUCCCUGGGUGGCCAGAAUCAAAAUUAGGUCUUGUAAUGUAACCGAAUGGUUUCUUUUGCUCCUUGCACUUACUUAGGUCCUUAUUUUGAAGGAUUUUUCGUUUUGAUCAAACUACAACCUUACAAUUUUGUUUCUGUUGGUUUUCUUUCACGUUUUGUCAAGGCUGGUCAUUACAACAGUCCAAAUCGUGCAUAAGCCAUGUUUGCAAGAGGAUUAUGAUUAAUUUUUAAAGUUGGACGGCCAUUAUGAGGAUGCGCAGCUCUGAACGUUUUAAUUUUCUAAAAAAGGGUUGAUUCUUGUUUUAAAAAGAAAAAUAUUUAGACUAUUUGAUUUUAUUAAAAAACUGCCAAAUCUUAGUCAAUUUGUAUUAAAAAAAAUUCAAACAAAAAUGUUUAUUAUGUAGGAAUUUACCAUUUAUUCAUCUCUUUUUUGGAACAAAAUGUGUCAAAAUAGUAUGGGCCAGUUUAAUAAAUAAAAUGACAAUCGCUGUGAUAGGAUUCGUAUAUAUAAUAAUAAAAUUACUUUAAUAUUCAACUUUAAAACUCACAAUAUCACGUCUUAUCACGAUUUCUUUCUUCAGAUCUUAUAGAUAUAGUUAAACAUUUUCGGGGUAUUUUCAAACAGUAUAAACAAAAUUGUCAAAUUGAACGACAAAAUUGCUGUGAUAAUUUCAUGUGUUGAUAUGUUUGCGCUUUAACCUAUUUUAAUCCUGUAUGUUUACCAUUGUUUGUUGAAGUUUGCAUUGUCUUGUUGCACGUUCGAACCGUCACCGGAUCGAAUAGUUCACGCUGUGGACUAAGUUACCAUAUAAUGUACAAGUUGGUUAGAUAUGAGUUUAAAAGAACAAAGAUAAACUAUGUUAUUAGAUGUGUUACUAUAUAGUUACAAAAAUUAAUAAAUGUGUUUGUUUAGC
Molecule: long non-coding RNA, 2420 nt
Organism: Cimex lectularius (bed bug)
Lineage: Eukaryota; Metazoa; Arthropoda; Insecta; Hemiptera; Cimicidae
Exons: 2
Source: RefSeq, a predicted model, not a curated record